CUUGGUUUUGCUAAACCAAAGAGUAUAUGAAAGAGAGUAAGAUAAGAUUAGAAAGAUAUGCUAGCACCAUGUUGUAAAAGGUCCUAAAUACCAAACAAAGGAGUUUAUAGUUGAUCCUAGCAUAUGAAGACCUCUUGGACCACUCUUACUCAUAGGAAUACCACUGCCCCUCACUCCCUCAUCUUCUAUAGUAUUUAUCCAUUAAUCUGAUAUUUUCUGCAUACUACCUUGAAUUAUUAGCUGGUUAGUUGGUUGCUGUACUUCAUACUCAAAGAGGACCAAAAUGACAUCACUAAUGGGAAUAUCUUAUGCCUGGCCCAUGAAUUGGAUUUAAGUGAUGCAGAGCUGCACAAAGUCAUCAGCUUCUCUCCUUCUUCCAGAGUCAUCCAAAUCCAGUGGCAAGACAAACCUGAGGAGAACUGGCAAUGGCUCAUGAUGUAGCAGAUGAUGUUGGCGUCUUCAAUAUCUGACCAAGGUCCAUUACCUCCUCUACCUGAGCAGCUGUUCAUUUUCAAACCUGAUGACAUCAUGGCCAGCCAGGGGCCAUCCAUCUCCUAAGGCUGACAAUGGAAGCAAAGACAAGAGGCCACAGGAGUCCCUGGUCUCCCUUGUCAUCCUGGCUCAGAUCCCACAUGAGACCAACUGGAAUGAUCUCUCUAGUUCCUGGAUCUCAUAUAUACCUGUUUGAGCCCAUUCCAGUGCAUAAAGCUGCUAUGGCACCAAGGAAACCUGAGAAACCAACAGAAGCACCAGCAGCAGCAGGAGCUAAAGUUUAGCAGCUGUGACUCACCACUUAUACUGCUGGGGAGAAGGGGGAAUGUUCCCUCUCCCUAGAGGGAAAAAGAUUCUUCAAAAUGAAAAUCUGCACUGAUUAACCUCUUUUGUGACAUGCUUCUUCUCUGCCAAGUAUGGAAAGAUGAUGGGCCCCUGCAGCCCCUCCCAAGGAGUAGCCUCUGUGCCUGAGAGUGUCAUGA
This 974-nucleotide long non-coding RNA is filed under the name Monodelphis domestica (gray short-tailed opossum). RNAcentral's name for it is "lncRNA (ENSMODG00000033852.2)". Lineage: Eukaryota; Metazoa; Chordata; Mammalia; Didelphimorphia; Didelphidae. The record is from RNAcentral.